CAGACACCUGGCCAUUAGCCCCAGUCCUACGCAGGGACUACACUGCGCAUGUUCAAAGGGGGCGUGUCAGGGGUGGGGCGAGACGGAGGGGCGGUGCCGAGGGGAGAGGCGGCGCAGAGGGAAGGAGCGGGGCGAGGAGAAGGGGCGGGGCGAGUACUGCUCCAAGAUAUGGCAACCGUGACAGCUUUGCGAGUAGCUCCAGGUCCCCUGCUGCUCCGUGAGAAAUCAAACUUCUGGCAAUGACGAAGCAUGAAGCCAGCAUCUCAGGGAGAGGUGAGAAAACUGACACUUGGAGAGGUAGAGUAGCUUUAUUUACUUCACACAAGCUUUUGAUGAAUUUCAAGUCUCAACCUAGAAGUCUUCCUCUAAGGUAUGACUGUG
RNAcentral lists this long non-coding RNA (381 nucleotides) under Pan troglodytes (chimpanzee). RNAcentral's name for it is "long non-coding RNA NONPTRT015642". The record is from RNAcentral. Lineage: Eukaryota; Metazoa; Chordata; Mammalia; Primates; Hominidae.